This 492-nucleotide ribosomal RNA is filed under the name uncultured bacterium. RNAcentral describes it as "partial 16S ribosomal RNA". It matches the Rfam family "Bacterial small subunit ribosomal RNA", at positions 29 to 507 of the family's 1533-position model. The record is from RNAcentral.
AGUGAACGCUGGCGGUAGGCCUAACACAUGCAAGUCGAACGGCAGCACAGUAAGAGCUUGCUCUUACGGGUGGCGAGUGGCGGACGGGUGAGGAAUACAUCGGAAUCUACUUUUUCGUGGGGGAUAACGUAGGGAAACUUACGCUAAUACCGCAUACGACCUACGGGUGAAAGCAGGGGAUCUUCGGACCUUGCGCGAUUGAAUGAGCCGAUGGCGGAUUAGCUAGUUGGCGGGGUAAAGGCCCACCAAGGCGACGAUCCGUAGCUGGUCUGAGAGGAUGAUCCGCCACACUGGAACUGAGACACGGUCCAGACUCCUACGGGAGGCAGCAGUAGGGAAUAUUGGACAAUGGGCGCAAGCCUGAUCCAGCCAUACCGCGUGGGUGAAGAAGGCCUUCGGGUUGUAAAGCCCUUUUGUUGGGAAAGAAAAGCAGCAGGUUAAUACCCCGCUGUUCUGACGGUACCCAAAGAAUAAGCACCGGCUAACUUCGUG